RNAcentral lists this ribosomal RNA (210 nucleotides) under Clostridioides difficile. Its description in RNAcentral is "partial 16S ribosomal RNA". It matches the Rfam family "Bacterial small subunit ribosomal RNA", at positions 1 to 220 of the family's 1533-position model. Lineage: Bacteria; Bacillati; Bacillota; Clostridia; Peptostreptococcales; Peptostreptococcaceae. The record is from RNAcentral.
UUAUUUGAGAGUUUGAUCCUGGCUCAGGAUGAACGCUGGCGGCGUGCCUAACACAUGCAAGUUGAGCGAUUUACUUCGGUAAAGAGCGGCGGACGGGUGAGUAACGCGUGGGUAACCUACCCUGUACACACGGAUAACAUACCGAAAGGUAUGCUAAUACGGGAUAAUAUAUUUGAGAGGCAUCUCUUAAAUAUCAAAGGUGAGCCAGUA